GUAUAUCUUUCCACUGACCGAAGGGAAAAAGAAAGUUCAAUAGAAUAAUUAUUUUUAGAUUCUUUUAUCUGUUAGAAAAAGAGAUAAUCUGCUAUUUUCCCUUAGGUAGGGAACGACAUCUAGAAAAGGCUACAGGAUAAGGAGAAAAAGGAGGAAUCCACCCGAGGAGGGGCUCACGUCUUAUUAGCUAGUUGGUGAGGCAAUAUUUUACGAAGAUGGUGAUCAGUAGCUAGUCCGAGAGCUGAUCAACCAUAUUGGGACUGAGACACGACCCAUACUCCUACGGUAGUUAGCAAUAGGGAAUUUCUGCAGUAGGUAAAAGCCUAACAAAGCUAUGCCACAUGGAGGUAGAAGGCCCACGGGUCAUAACUUCUUUUCCUCCAGAAGAAUCAAUGAUGGUAUCUAGGGAAUAAGCAUCGCUAUCUUUGUGCCAGCAGCCGCGGUAAUACAGAGGAUGCAAGCAUUAUCCAGAAUUAUUGGGAGUAAUGCGUAUGUAGGUGGCUUUUUAUGUCCGCCGUCAAAUUUCAGGGCUCAACCCUAGACAGGCGGUGGAAAUGAGCAAGCUGGAGUACAGUAAGGGAAUAGGGAAUUUCCGGGGGAGAGCUUGAUCAGUGAGCUAUUAUACACUCUUUUAAGGGUGGCUACUUCUAGGCAAAUGUAAGGCUCCGUAAAAUGUUACCUAGAAUACGGGGUUUC
Ribosomal RNA from Nicotiana attenuata, 696 nucleotides. It matches the Rfam family "Bacterial small subunit ribosomal RNA", at positions 9 to 873 of the family's 1533-position model. Lineage: Eukaryota; Viridiplantae; Streptophyta; Magnoliopsida; Solanales; Solanaceae. The record is from Rfam.